Molecule: small nuclear RNA, 106 nt
Organism: Eptesicus fuscus (big brown bat)
Lineage: Eukaryota; Metazoa; Chordata; Mammalia; Chiroptera; Vespertilionidae
Source: RefSeq, a predicted model, not a curated record
GUACUCGCUUCGGUAGCACAUAUACUAAAAUUGGAAUGAUACAGAGAUUAGCAUGGCCCCCCCGCACAAGGAUGACACGCAAAUUCAUGAAGCGUUCCAUAUUUUU